GGAGGAUCAUUAUCGUAGGGCUUCGGCCCUGUCGAGAUAGAACCCUUGCCUUUUUGAGUACCUUUCGUUUCCUCGGCAGGCUCGCCUGCCAAUGGGGACCACAAAAAACACUUUGCAGUACCUGUAACAGUCUGAACAAACAAAACAAAAAUUACAACUUUCAACAACGGAUCUCUUGGUUCUGGCAUCGAUGAAGAACGCAGCGAAAUGCGAUAAGUAGUGUGAAUUGCAGAAUUCAGUGAAUCAUCGAAUCUUUGAACGCACAUUGCGCCCUUUGGUAUUCCUUAGGGCAUGCCUGUUCGAGCGUCAUUUAAACCUUCAAGCUAAGCUUGGUGUUGGGUGACUGUCCGCUUCACUGCGGACUCGCCUCAAAAUUAUUGGCGGCCGGUACAUUGGCUUCGAGCGCAGCAGAAACGCGAACUCGGGCCCGUCGUAUUGGCUCCCAGAAGCUAUCUUCACAAUUUUGACCUCGGAUCAGGUAGGGAUACCCGCUGAACUUAAGCAUAUCAAUAAGCGGAGGA
This 521-nucleotide ribosomal RNA is filed under the name uncultured Pleosporales. Its description in RNAcentral is "eukaryotic LSU rRNA". The stretch from base 156 to 309 matches the Rfam family "5.8S ribosomal RNA". The record is from RNAcentral. Lineage: Eukaryota; Fungi; Ascomycota; Dothideomycetes; Pleosporales.